RNAcentral lists this transfer RNA (77 nucleotides) under Fusobacterium polymorphum. RNAcentral describes it as "tRNA-Arg". It matches the Rfam family "tRNA". Rfam says of the family: Transfer RNA (tRNA) molecules are approximately 80 nucleotides in length. Their secondary structure includes four short double-helical elements and three loops (D, anti-codon, and T loops). Lineage: Bacteria; Fusobacteriati; Fusobacteriota; Fusobacteriia; Fusobacteriales; Fusobacteriaceae. The record is from RNAcentral. RNAcentral also lists the same sequence under 2 other names.
GCACUCAUAGCUUAACUGGAUAGAGCAUCUGACUUCGGAUCAGAGGGUUGUGGGUUCAAGUCCUACUGAGUGUGCCA